This 253-nucleotide ribosomal RNA is filed under the name uncultured bacterium. Its description in RNAcentral is "partial 16S ribosomal RNA". It matches the Rfam family "Bacterial small subunit ribosomal RNA", at positions 524 to 776 of the family's 1533-position model. The record is from RNAcentral.
UACGGAGGGUGCAAGCGUUAUCCGGAUUCACUGGGUUUAAAGGGUGCGUAGGUGGGAAUGUAAGUCAGUGGUGAAAUCUCCGUGCUUAACACGGAAACUGCCAUUGAUACUAUGUUUCUUGAAUUAUCUGGAGGUCAGCGGAAUAUGUCAUGUAGCGGUGAAAUGCUUAGAUAUGACAUAGAACACCAAUUGCGAAGGCAGCUGGCUACAGGUGGAUUGACACUGAGGCACGAAAGUGUGGGGAUCAAACAGG